RNAcentral lists this long non-coding RNA (1486 nucleotides) under Homo sapiens (human). RNAcentral describes it as "HSALNT0170211". The record is from RNAcentral. Lineage: Eukaryota; Metazoa; Chordata; Mammalia; Primates; Hominidae.
CCGCUCUCAAGCACCGAUGAGUUGAUCAGGCCAGGCUGGCAUCAACACCACAUCUUGGCACAAAGCAGCCAGUGGGGACACUCGCUCCUGGCAGGGCCCCGCCUAAAGGUGUAGGCGCAGCUGUCCUGGAAGCGCGAGGAACUGGAGAAAACGGGCAGGCUGAGUACACAACAGGGAGGCAGACCCAGGACACUGAGGAUGUCCCUGUCGCAGGAGGACACGUUUUCACAGAAGUGGAGCCAGCCUGAACGCUUUUCGUAGAAACGAGAGGGAUUUGCACUGAGGCUUGACACCUUCAGGGAUACCUUGUAAGAAUAACAGGACCUAAGGAAAAAAUGGAAAUUACCUAGAACCUGUUACCCUCCCCACAAAGAGGCUUCCAGGAGCUGCUCUGAAGGGCACUUGUGACCAGCACAGUCAUUCACGUGACAGUGGAGAGGGGUUGAUGAAACCAAAAGCAGGAAAAAACAGAAGAGCUGAAGCAUCAUUAAAUUCAUGAAGUCCCAUUUGCCUCUUAAGCUUUAGGUUGCAUGUUUCCAACCCAACUCAUGUGAAUUCAAAUCCAAUCAUCACUGCCAUCAAAUAGGGUUUACAAGCUGCUGCCUGUGCUUCCCAGUCCAGUCGCAGAGCCCAAUGCUAAGGCGGCACCUCCUCCCGGAGCCCGAGCCUUCACUUACCUUUUUGAGGAUCUGUUCCGUGCACUUGUGCUCCUCUUGAAUGCCAUCUCUGGAUCUCACAAAACAGGGGACAGGCAAGCUGUUCAUGGGCUUGACACAGGUAAUUCCUUCAUUGUUCCCUCUGGGGUUCCACUCGUCAAUCUUAAACCUUCACAGAGUUCCAGGAUCUGGCACCUGAGCUGGGGCCAAAGACCAGCUUGAAGGGGUCACAGCCCAGGUGUGUUUGAGAGACACCAUCAGGAUGCCAUAGGACGUCAGACCCGUGGGGAUCCAGAAGGGCUCUCAAAACAAGAAACAGACCCUCUGAAGCAGGCACAUGUGGGUGACAGCACUCACGCCAUCUCACAUGGAUGGCUGGCUCCCACGAGGCCCUCUGCCAAGCCAGGGGGCACCCACCACGCUGCCAGGUGCAUCCUCAGUAAGACUUAUGUGGACGUCCUCUGUAAUUGGGCAAAGAAAUGGAGCUGAGUGCCCCUCACCAAGCUGAAGGACUGAGGGCAAAGGUUAGCUCAAUCACCCAUAAAAGACAAGGGUUGGCAUGACAACUGGCUGGUAUCUGGGGAAACUCGUGGGCAUCUCACCUCUACAAACAAACAGCGGUUUCAUUCCUCAUGCAUUGCAUUGAAGGUGUUCAAAGAAAGGGGGACAGAGGAGGUCCCAGGAGGCGCCACCAUCACCUAGGAGAGCUCCACUCCAGCGGUGGGUCUGCAUGCACCUAAUCGAGGGAGCUGCGCCCUGCUCACAAACUUAGCAAGGUGCACAGGGAAAGCUAGGGUGCAGACUCGGGAUGUCGCAUCUGAGCCUGUCUA